GUGAAUCGUGCGGGGAAGGGCGCUCAGCUGGGACGCAACGGUGUGCGGCGAAAAGACUGGCAUGACUAUGAAGCAAUCAAAAGAGACGCAUCUCGAUCUGGUAACGGUGAACAGGGGAAGCCGUUCCCCCUGACUGAUGCUGACCGGGUCGAUCAAGCCUACAGAGAAAACGGCUUCAACAUUUACGUCAGCGACCGCAUCUCCCUGAACCGCUCUGUUCCUGACAUCCGCCAUCCAAACUGUAAACACAAGCUGUAUGCAGAGAAGCUGCCCAACACCACAAUCAUCAUCCCGUUCCACAACGAGGGCUGGUCGUCGCUGCUCAGGACGGUUCACAGCGUGCUGAAUCGCUCUCCCCCACAGCUCAUAGCCGAGAUCAUCCUGGUCGACGACUUCAGCGACAAAGGUACACAGCGCACACACGCU
Non-coding RNA from Maylandia zebra (zebra mbuna), 426 nucleotides. Lineage: Eukaryota; Metazoa; Chordata; Actinopteri; Cichliformes; Cichlidae. The record is from RefSeq and is a predicted model, not a curated record.